This is a long non-coding RNA of Gadus morhua (Atlantic cod), 391 nucleotides long. The record is from Ensembl. NCBI's taxonomy places the organism in Eukaryota, Metazoa, Chordata, Actinopteri, Gadiformes, Gadidae.
GUUGGUUAUUUCUUUUCCCCAUCUUCAAUGCCAGCAGAUGAUAUUGCUACCGUCAUUAAGGAUGCCAAUCGCCACCUACAUCAUAUAGGGCUGACAGUGCAGGCAGUAAUAUGUGACCAGGGAAGCCCUAAUGUGAAGGCUGUGCGGAACCUUGGGGCUAACCUGGACCCUCUGGGAGGUGAGGAGUCCCACUGUAUCCUGGUGGGGGUUCAGAGGUGAUUUUUGAUGUCCCUCACCUUCUGAAAUCAAUCAGGAACAACCUGUUUAAACACGCCCUACAGACACAAGGAAAAAAAAUUCUAUGGAAGCACAUCAGCCAAUUCUAUGAGCUGGACAAGCACCACACUAUUCGGAUGGCCCCGAAGCUAAUUGAUAAGCACAUUCUGCUGCC